GCAUUGGUGGUUCAGUGGUAGAAUUCUUGCCUGCCACGCGGGAGACUCUGGUCCGAUUCCCGGCCAAGGCA
Molecule: non-coding RNA, 71 nt
Organism: Danio rerio (zebrafish)
Lineage: Eukaryota; Metazoa; Chordata; Actinopteri; Cypriniformes; Danionidae
Source: Rfam